This 226-nucleotide ribosomal RNA is filed under the name uncultured bacterium. Its description in RNAcentral is "partial 16S ribosomal RNA". It matches the Rfam family "Bacterial small subunit ribosomal RNA", at positions 538 to 763 of the family's 1533-position model. The record is from RNAcentral.
GCGUUGUCCGGAAUUAUUGGGCGUAAAGAGCUCGUAGGCGGCUUGUCACGUCGACUGUGAAAACCCGGGGCUCAACUCCGGGCCUGCAGUCGAUACGGGCUGGCUUGAGUGCGGUAGGGGAGACUGGAAUUCCUGGUGUAGCGGUGAAGUGCGCAGAUAUCAGGAGGAACACCGGUGGCGAAGGCGGGUCUCUGGGCCGUAACUGACGCUGAGGAGCGAAAGCGUG